GCCCUCCAGCUGCUAACCACCGGCCAUCCUCGUGAACACUUGGCCUCAGAGUUUCCCUAACCUUUCCCUCCCCGGUUAGGUUCGCUCAACUAAACGUUCCUCCGGCAUUGACGUUCAGACCUCGACGGAUCUCCACACCCGUGCGAUCCCUGUACCUGAACCCUUUAAUAAACACCUUUAAACUGCA
Fundulus heteroclitus (mummichog) is the source of this 187-nucleotide long non-coding RNA. RefSeq lists it as uncharacterized. Lineage: Eukaryota; Metazoa; Chordata; Actinopteri; Cyprinodontiformes; Fundulidae. The record is from RefSeq and is a predicted model, not a curated record. The transcript is spliced from 2 exons.